Molecule: ribosomal RNA, 253 nt
Filed under: uncultured bacterium
Lineage: Bacteria
Description: partial 16S ribosomal RNA
Rfam family: Archaeal small subunit ribosomal RNA
Source: RNAcentral
UACCCGCAGCACAAGUGGUGGUCAUUAUUAUUGGGCCUAAAGCGUCCGUAGCUGGCUUGUUAGAUGCCUGGGUAAAUCGAUGCGCUCAACGCAUCGAACUCCGGGUAGACCGGCAAGCUCGAGACCGGGAGAGGUGUAGGCUACUCGGGGGGUAGGGGUAAAAUCCUGUAAUCCUCCGGGGAGGACCAGUGGCGAAGGCGCUACACUAGAACGGCUCUGACAGUGAGGGACGAAGCCCUGGGGCGCAAACCGG